CAAAAGUUCGCCAUCUUUUCAGUGUCGCCUAAUUUAACGGCUUAGCGGUAGUCGUGUUGGAGUUUAUGCCAGAGUCAUCAUUUUUCAAAAUGUUCGGAAGAUGCGCGGCACCACUACUGGUUCUGUUGUACUCCGUCAAGUUCGUCGAACCAGCAAAGGCGUGUCGAUACGUUCACUUCUACGGACAUUGCGGCGGACAUUUUUACACUUUUGUUGGCUCAGUGGCGGCCUGUAAAGUAGCGUGUUCAAGCCGAGGAAACUGUCUUGGAAUUCAUUACAACUCCGGACAAUGUUGGCUUCAAAACUUUGUCUGUCAACCGAGCAAGGCCGUGAAUAGGGGCAACAGAGUAUGGAAUCAAUACACAAAACUGACUCCCUGCUCGACGACAG
Lineus longissimus is the source of this 390-nucleotide long non-coding RNA. RefSeq lists it as uncharacterized. The record is from RefSeq and is a predicted model, not a curated record. The transcript is spliced from 3 exons. Lineage: Eukaryota; Metazoa; Nemertea; Pilidiophora; Heteronemertea; Lineidae.